AGAGUUUGAUCAUGGCUCAGGAUGAACGCUAGCGGCAGGCUUAAUACAUGCAAGUCGAACGGUAAGGUUUCUUCGGAGACACACGAGUGGCGCACGGGUGCGUAACGCGUAUGCAACCUACCUUUAACUGGGGAAUAGCCCCGAGAAAUCGGGAUUAAUACCCCAUAACAUCCAGUUUUCGCAUGGGAAUUGGAUUAAAGCUCCGGCGGUUAAAGAUGGGCAUGCGUGGCAUUAGCUAGUUGGUGAGGUAAAGGCUCACCAAGGCAACGAUGCCUAGGGGUCCUGAGAGGGUUAACCCCCACACUGGUACUGAGACACGGACCAGACUCCUACGGGAGGCAGCAGUAAGGAAUAUUGGGCAAUGGACGCAAGUCUGACCCAGCCAUGCCGCGUGCAGGAUGACUGCCCUAUGGGUUGUAAACUGCUUUUGUACGGGAAAAAACCCUUCGAUUCGUUCGGAGGCUGAUGGUACCGCGCGAAUAAGCAUCGGCUAACUCCGUGCCAGCAGCCGCGGUAAUACGGAGGAUGCAAGCGUUAUCCGGAUUCAUUGGGUUUAAAGGGUGCGCAGGCGGAAUAGUAAGUCAGUGGUGAAAUCUUCCGGCUCAACCGGGAAACUGCCAUUGAUACUGCUGUUCUUGAGUACAGUUGAAGUGGGCGGAAUGUGUCAUGUAGCGGUGAAAUGCUUAGAUAUGACACAGAACACCGAUAGCGAAGGC
RNAcentral lists this ribosomal RNA (716 nucleotides) under uncultured bacterium. Its description in RNAcentral is "bacterial SSU rRNA". It matches the Rfam family "Bacterial small subunit ribosomal RNA", at positions 8 to 722 of the family's 1533-position model. The record is from RNAcentral.